This 370-nucleotide ribosomal RNA is filed under the name uncultured bacterium. RNAcentral's name for it is "bacterial SSU rRNA". It matches the Rfam family "Bacterial small subunit ribosomal RNA", at positions 527 to 896 of the family's 1533-position model. The record is from RNAcentral.
GUAGGGAGCAAGCGUUGUCCGGAUUUACUGGGUGUAAAGGGUGCGUAGGCGGCUUUGCAAGUCAGAUGUGAAAUCUAUGGGCUCAACCCAUAAACUGCAUUUGAAACUGUAGAGCUUGAGUGAAGUAGAGGCAGGCGGAAUUCCCCGUGUAGCGGUGAAAUGCGUAGAGAUGGGGAGGAACACCAGUGGCGAAGGCGGCCUGCUGGGCUUUAACUGACGCUGAGGCGCGAAAGCGUGGGUAGCAAACAGGAUUAGAUACCCUGGUAGUCCACGCUGUAAACGAUGAUUACUAGGUGUGGGGGGUCUGACCCCUUCCGUGCCGGAGUUAACACAAUAAGUAAUCCACCUGGGGAGUACGGCCGCAAGGUUG